AGCAGUAGCCGCGGUAAAACGUAGGUCCCGAGCGUUGUCCGGAUUUAUUGGGCGUAAAGCGAGCGCAGGCGGUUUGAUAAGUCUGAAGUUAAAGGCUGUGGCUCAACCAUAGUUCGCUUUGGAAACUGUCAAACUUGAGUGCAGAAGGGGAGAGUGGAAUUCCAUGUGUAGCGGUGAAAUGCGUAGAUAUAUGGAGGAACACCGGUGGCGAAAGCGGCUCUCUGGCUUGUAACUGACGCUGAGGCUCGAAAGCGUGGGGAGCAAACAGGAUUAGAUACCCCCGUAGUCCCUGUCUCUUAUACC
Molecule: ribosomal RNA, 303 nt
Filed under: uncultured bacterium
Lineage: Bacteria
Description: partial 16S ribosomal RNA
Rfam family: Bacterial small subunit ribosomal RNA
Source: RNAcentral